This is a long non-coding RNA of Lutra lutra (Eurasian river otter), 899 nucleotides long. RefSeq lists it as uncharacterized. The record is from RefSeq and is a predicted model, not a curated record. NCBI's taxonomy places the organism in Eukaryota, Metazoa, Chordata, Mammalia, Carnivora, Mustelidae. The transcript is spliced from 3 exons.
CACAGCCUCUGGGCUGGUCCACACCUGUCAUCAAAUCUAGCAGCUCGUCAAGGGUUAGCUGCCUGUCCAAGUGCUGUUUUAGUCAAACCAAACCAAACAGAAAGUGUGGUUUUUGUUCAUAACGACAGUUUAUUUUCAACUCUUACAAUUCUCCCCAUACCCCAUUAUAUUCCUGCAAGGCACCUCUCCCCUUCUAGUACAUCAUCUGAUUGACGCAGUCUUUUCCUUUGUCUGUCCCGCCCGCUAAGUGAAGUUCUAAAGGGGCAGGCUUGUCUGCUCGUUCACGGACGUCAGUACACACCUGCGAGGCCUCGGAAGAGACCGGAACAAAGCGCGUACUCGAUACAUACCAGCUGAAUGAAUGGAUUCCUCAUCUGUACUCCACACAAAGGUAAAAACAGUGUUAGGAAAAACCACAGUUCUCUCUUGACCAUUUGGGCUGAAAGGAAUGAACUGACGCCUUGUUCUGAACCGUCUGCCUUGCCUCCUGCCCUGGGAUUUGUCUUUAAAAGACAAUCCACAAGACAAACUGUGCCCUUCAUCCAUUUUCAAAGGCCUCAUUUGCCUGUCAGCUGCCCUACUUCAGUACUCGAUGGGAGGAUCGAAAGUGGGAGUAACUGAAAACUCAAAUUCUCCACCUUCAGAAACACGGGUUGUAGCAGUAAUAACAUGUUAAUAAAUACAGCAGCAUUCUGAAACCACAAAAAAAGGGAACACUCCCAUCACAAACACAUCUAAAAUACACUGUGAUACAUCUGAUGCUCGAGGAUACAAACCAGAACAAGCUAGUUCUGACCUUCAGAUGGCUACUGACCAACGACGGACGAGAGCCUCGAACAGUACAAGGGCCCUAGGAGAAGCAAUUCUGUCGCCAGUAUGUGAGGACGACUCAAAAAAAC